UACGUAGGGGGCGAGCGUUGUCCGAAGUUACUGGGCGUAAAGCGCGCGUAGGCUGUCUUUUAAGUCUGGUGUGAAAGGUUCAGGGCUCAACCCGAACAGUGCACUGGAUACUGGAAGACUUGAGUGCGGGAGAGGAGAGUGGAAUUCCUGGUGUAGCGGUGAAAUGCGUAGAUAUCAGGAGGAACACCGAUGGCGAAGGCAGCUCUCUGGCCUGCAACUGACGCUGAGGUGCGAAAGCGUGGGGAGCGAACGGG
RNAcentral lists this unclassified non-coding RNA (254 nucleotides) under uncultured Armatimonadales bacterium. Its description in RNAcentral is "contains 16S-23S intergenic spacer region". It matches the Rfam family "Bacterial small subunit ribosomal RNA", at positions 524 to 776 of the family's 1533-position model. The record is from RNAcentral. Lineage: Bacteria; Bacillati; Armatimonadota; Armatimonadia; Armatimonadales.